Molecule: long non-coding RNA, 2013 nt
Organism: Suricata suricatta (meerkat)
Lineage: Eukaryota; Metazoa; Chordata; Mammalia; Carnivora; Herpestidae
Exons: 2
Source: RefSeq, a predicted model, not a curated record
GUCAAGUCUAAGGUAGCAUCUGUCUGUGUGCUUAUUUUUCAAAGCCACCUGCUGCCACACUCCGGGGAUUCCCCGGGGCUGCCGUAGAGCGGGCAUCUCCAGCACAGCCACUUUUCGGCACGGAGGAGCUUAACGUCCUCCGAGCUCCUCUUUGACACUUUGUUUCAAGUAGUAGUGAGGUGACCUCCUCUAUCCCACGGAAGGGAUUCAGAUAGCAAAGCCAUUUCCUUUUCUUGACUCUCUAGCCUUGAAAGUUAUUUAAUUAGCAACACUUUCAGCACAUCUGGGUUUUAGGAGGGGCCCUUUGGAGACUGAGCACUUCUCCCUCCUUUUGUGAAAUUGUCCGUGUGGGGGGGGGUCACCUCUUCCCCUGAGCAGUCCCGCUCAGGCUGUUGGGAGAGUGGCACAGGGCUGUGAGAGAGACCUGGCACCGAGAGGCCAGAUCCCACACCUUCCAUCUCUCCCUGGCACACCUGCCUGGCUUCUGCUCAGGGCUUUCCUGCUCUCUGGGCCUCCUCUGUGUAGGGUGUGGCUUGAUCUGUCCAGGCCCCGUGGUGUAGGCAUUGUGGGAGUCCAGGGAGGUCAGCAAGUGGAAGGAGAGCCUUCGCCUGCAAGGCCACCAGCCGUUUCCAGGCCUCCGCCCUCCCGUCCUGCAAUGCCACGCAUAGCAGCAGGUGAAGGAUUCUCUGCAUCGCAUGCCGUCUGCUCGGAGGAGCCCCAGGCUGCUAGCACUUCUGGCCUGGCCCUAGAUGAGAAGAAGCAUCUACAGACAGGGUCACAGCCAAACCCCUUGGCUCGGUACAUUUGCCCUUAACCUUAACUCUGAACCCACCUCAUUUCUUUCCCUCCCCCGACUAACAGUUCAUGCCUCAGCCACACAGCAGUUGUGGGGUCCUCCAUAUCUGUGUUCCCACAGACACACUGCACGGGGAAGCAGAAGUCAUCAUAACAUGAAAAUAUGCACGAAUAAACUCAUUGCUGGUGUCCAGCCCACCCAUAUCUGAUGAUAAUCAGUCAUUUUCUGAUGGCCAAACGUAAAAAUCUGUCAGUCUGGGGCAAGAAUAGCAGAAACUCUUCACUAACCUUUGUUUGCCUCCUUCCCUGGGGAGGGGUACGCCCGUUCUCUUGGUGCAGCAGACUGCGUGAGGCCCCCAGUUCACUGAAGGCUCGGGGCUGGUGGGCUACUUACAAGUCCAGCUUUCCAGAUUAAAAAAUUUGGUCUGCUCCUGACUAGCUGUGUGACCUUGGGUAAGUUGCAUAACCUCUCUGUGCCCAUAUGCUUCAUCUGUAAAACUAGACCUAAUAUGAGCGCCUGCCUUCUAGGGUGUUUAUGAGCUAAUGAGUUAAUACACGUAAAGAGUUAGAGCAGUGUUUUCCGGGGCAUGCGACAAACACCCGUUAAACAUUAGCUGUUGAUACUGGUGCGCCAGGAGGCCUUUCCGACUCUUUGAUUUCUGCGCUGGCCAAAAGUUAGCCGUGUUGGUAAUUAAAUAUUACAUAACCUGGAGAAAAUUGAAGUGUAAAGAGAGUCAUUGCAUGAAAACAAAGUUUGGUACUCUGGAAAGAAUGUGUAACACUGAUUUGCUAAAAAGUUGUUGCUGAAUCACCAAGGGGCAAAACAGCUGUAAAAGAUACACAGAAAAACGGUAGUACAGCUCGGAGUCUGUGUUCCAUGUGCUUUGCAGAUGACCUACUUCCGCACUCCUCUGAAGCAGUGGAAAUCAGCAACUGUAGAUGCUGCAUGCAAAGCUGGCAAGAGUGAAGGACGCGGCAUCUCCUGGGCUGUGGAGAAACCGAGUCCCUCUCCAGACUGUGGACUGCUCCCUCCGCUCUCGAGUUACCAACUACCCUCCACUGCCUUCCCUCGCCUGAUGAGAAGUGCCUGGGUGAAGGCUGUCAUCACAGUUGACUGAGAUGAUUUACUUUUGUCCAGGAAAUCUUUCCUCCAGCUCUGGCCUUGCAAUUAUGCAAAAAAAGAGGGAAAGUUAAUAAAGAUGCAUAACGUGAAUCUAA